RNAcentral lists this transfer RNA (75 nucleotides) under Helicobacter pylori. RNAcentral's name for it is "tRNA-Gly". It matches the Rfam family "tRNA". From Rfam's summary of the family: Transfer RNA (tRNA) molecules are approximately 80 nucleotides in length. Their secondary structure includes four short double-helical elements and three loops (D, anti-codon, and T loops). Further hydrogen bonds mediate the characteristic L-shaped molecular structure. tRNAs have two regions of fundamental functional importance: the anti-codon, which is responsible for specific mRNA codon recognition, and the 3' end, to which the tRNAs corresponding amino acid is attached (by aminoacyl-tRNA synthetases). tRNAs cope with the degeneracy of the genetic code in two manners: having more than one tRNA (with a specific anti-codon) for a particular amino acid; and 'wobble' base-pairing, i.e. permitting non-standard base-pairing at the 3rd anti-codon position. The record is from RNAcentral. Lineage: Bacteria; Pseudomonadati; Campylobacterota; Epsilonproteobacteria; Campylobacterales; Helicobacteraceae. RNAcentral also lists the same sequence under 512 other names.
GCGGAAGUAGUUCAGUGGUAGAACAUCACCUUGCCAAGGUGGGGGUCGCGGGUUCGAAUCCCGUCUUCCGCUCCA